UCUAUUGUGUUUCUGCAGCCUCUCCACUCUCUUCUUCGAUUUCUUUUAUGCAUUAGCUACACAACGCCGGUGACUUCUUGAAAUUGCCACAACGCCGGUCUGAAUCGCUCAUAUACUGCUUGAUUCAACGAUUCGGCUCCAUUGUUCGUCGCCUCUGCUGCAGCAACGAUUCAGCUCCAUUUGGUUGCCUCAGCUGCUCCAACGAUUCAGCUCCAUUUGGUCGCCUCAGCUGCUCCAACGAUUCAUCUCCAUUUCGUUGCCUCAGCUGCUCCAACGAUUCAUCUCCAUUUCGUCGCCUCAGCUGCUCCAACGAUUCAGCUCCAUUUCGUCGCCUCAGCAACAAUUCAACUCCAUUUCGUCGGCUCCACUGCUCUUCGCCUCUGUCUCUGCUGUUUCAACGAUUCAGCUCCAUUAUUAUCAAAGGUAAAAUCCUUAGAAGUUUUCUGAUAUCAAACAGGGGCAAUUUUGGGUACAGACCAUGUUAGCAAAUCACUAGCAUAUGAUGAAAUCUUGUUUGGGGAAAGAACAAGAAAUAUAUGGACAUUGAGGAGUUUUAAACUUCAAGCACCUCUUUGACUCGGGCAGAGCUGUUGCUAUUCCUGCUGCAUUGAAGAUCAUUGGUCUAGAACUUAAUGACAAAAACAAUUGAGCUAAAAUGGCAUAUUCCUUCAUUAAUGCUUGCUGGAAACCAGAACCAAAGCAAGCAGAGAAACUCGGUCAAACUGAGAUGAUUACGACAUGCCUUCAUCAAUUUUUAGAAGAUAUACAAAGAUGUCAAUCCAUUUCAUGGCUGUAAGGACACUUGGUGUAAUUGCUUUGUUUGAUGUUGAUGGAACUCUCACAGCUCCAAGAAAGGUGCCAAAUUAUUUUUUUUGUUUACUUUUGUUAUAAUGCUUUCUCUUUGGUGUUAUAAUGAUUUAAAUGAAGUACUGAAUUGAGUUCAUUAUAAUAAGCUUAUCCUAAUUAUCAUUGAAUGAAAUAAUACAUGCUUUUUCUGGGUGAAAUAUGUAACUAAAAUAUUAAAAUUAGGACUUGUGUGGUUGCUGUAACUU
Molecule: long non-coding RNA, 1052 nt
Organism: Mercurialis annua (annual mercury)
Lineage: Eukaryota; Viridiplantae; Streptophyta; Magnoliopsida; Malpighiales; Euphorbiaceae
Exons: 6
Source: RefSeq, a predicted model, not a curated record